AGUCAAGUAAUGAAGUGCACAUGGUGGAUGCCUUGGCAGUCAGAGGCGAUGAAAGACGUGACAGCCUGCGAAAAGCGUCGGGGAGGCGGCAAUAUCCUGUGAUCCGGCGAUAUCUGAAUGGGGAAACCCACUUGUCAUAAGACAGGUAUCGUAAAUUUAUUUACGAGGCAAACCGGGAGAAGUGAAACAUCUCAGUAACCCGAGGAAAAGACAUCAAUAGAGAUUCCCCUAGUAGCGGCGAGCGAACGGGGAGGAGCCGACUGAUUAUAAUUUAGAGGAAUGACUUGGAAAGGUCAAUCGUAGAGGGUGAUAAUCCCGUACUCGAAAGGUUAUAAGAAGCAUAUUAAGUAGGGCGGAACACGAGAAAUUCUGUCUGAAGAUGGGGGGACCAUCCUCCAAGGCUAAAUACUCCUGACUGACCGAUAGUGAACCAGUACCGUGAGGGAAAGGCGAAAAGAACCCCUGUGAGGGGAGUGAAAUAGAACCUGAAACCGUGUGCAUACAAGCAGUCGGAGCGGACAUGUUCCGUGACGGCGUACCUUUUGUAUAAUGGGUCAGCGACUUAUAUUCUGUAGCAAGGUUAACCGAAUAGGGGAGCCGUAGGGAAACCGAGUCUUAAUAGGGCGUCUAGUUGCAGGGUAUAGACCCGAAACCGAGUGAUCUAUCCAUGAGCAGGUUGAAAGUGACGUAACAGUUACCGGAGGACCGAACCCACUGUCGUUGAAAAGCCAGGGGAUGACUUGUGGAUAGGGGUGAAAGGCUAAUCAAACUCGGUGAUAGCUGGUUCUCCCCGAAAGCUAUUUAGGUAGCGCCUCGGACGAACACCAUUGGGGGUAGAGCACUGUUUCGGCUAGGGGGUCAUCCCGACUUACCAAACCGAUGCAAACUCCGAAUACCGAUGAGUGAUAUCCGGGAGACAGACGGCGGGUGCUAACGUCCGUCGUCAAGAGGGAAACAACCCAGACCGCCAGCUAAGGCCCCAAAUUCCUAGUUAAGUGGGAAACGAUGUGGGAAGGCACAGACAGCUAGGAGGUUGGCUUAGAAGCAGCCACCCUUUAAAGAAAGCGUAAUAGCUCACUAGUCGAGUCGGCCUGCGCGGAAGAUGUAACGGGGCUCAAACUAGGAGCCGAAGCUGCGGAUUUAAUUGUUUCAAUUAAGUGGUAGGGGAGCAUUGUGUAAGCCUGUGAAGGUGUGUUGUAAAGCAUGCUGGAGGUAUCACAAGAGCGAAUGCUGACGUGAGUAACGACAAAACGGGUGAAAAGCCCGUUCGCCGGAAGACCAAGGGUUCCAGUCCAACGUUAAUCGGGGCUGGGUGAGUCGACCCCUAAGGCGAGGCCGAAAGGCGUAGUCGAUGGGAAAUCGGUUAAUAUUCCGAUACUUGUUUAUGAUGCGAUGGAGGGACGGAGAAGGUUAUGCCAGCUUGGCGAUGGUUGUCCAAGUGGAAGGAUGUAGUUAGGUUUAGUAGGCAAAUCCGCUAGACUAUUAAUGAGAUCUGAUAGCAAGCUGUACUUGUACAGCGAAGUGGCAAAUACCCUGCUUCCAGGAAAAGCUUCUAAGCGAUAGUCAUAAAGAAAUCGUACCCUAAACCGACACAGGUGGUCAGGUAGAGAAUACCAAGGCGCUUGAGAGAACUCUGCUGAAGGAACUAGGCAAAAUGGUACCGUAACUUCGGGAGAAGGUACGCUGCCGAUGGUGAGUAGACAUGCUCUACAAAGCUAUUGGCAGUCGCAGAUACCAGGCCGCUGCAACUGUUUAUUAAAAACACAGCACUCUGCAAACACGAAAGUGGACGUAUAGGGUGUGAUGCCUGCCCGGUGCUGGAAGGUUAAUUGAUGGGGUUAGCGUAAGCGAAGCUCUUGAUCGAAGCCCCAGUAAACGGCGGCCGUAACUAUAACGGUCCUAAGGUAGCGAAAUUCCUUGUCGGGUAAGUUCCGACCUGCACGAAUGGCAUAAUGAUGGCGGCGCUGUCUCCAGCAGAGACUCAGUGAAAUCGAAAUCGCAGUGAAGAUGCUGUGUACCCGCGGCUAGACGGAAAGACCCCGUGAACCUUUACUACAGCUUUACAUUGAACUUUGACCUUACCUGUGUAGGAUAGGUGGGAGGCUUUGAAGCAGGCACGCCAGUGUCUGUGGAGCCAUCCUUGAAAUACCACCCUGGUAAUGUUGGGGUUCUAACUCAAGCUUAACAGAGCUGAGGACAAUGUAUGGUGGGUAGUUUGACUGGGGCGGUCUCCUCCUAAAGAGUAACGGAGGAGUACGAAGGUGCGCUCAGAACGGUCGGAAAUCGUUCGAAGAGUAUAAAGGCAAAAGCGCGCUUAACUGCGAGACCCACAAGUCGAGCAGAUACGAAAGUAGGUCUUAGUGAUCCGGUGGUUCUGUAUGGAAGGGCCAUCGCUCAACGGAUAAAAGGUACUCUGGGGAUAACAGGCUGAUACCGCCCAAGAGUUCAUAUCGACGGCGGUGUUUGGCACCUCGAUGUCGGCUCAUCUCAUCCUGGGGCUGAAGCAGGUCCCAAGGGUAUGGCUGUUCGCCAUUUAAAGAGGUACGCGAGCUGGGUUUAGAACGUCGUGAGACAGUUCGGUCCCUAUCUACCGUGGGCGUUGGAAAUUUGAGAGGAUCUGCUCCUAGUACGAGAGGACCAGAGUGGACGAACCUCUGGUGUUUCGGUUGUGACGCCAGUCGCAUUGCCGAGUAGCUAUGUUCGGAUGGGAUAACCGCUGAAAGCAUCUAAGCGGGAAGCCCACCUUAAGAUUAGAUUUCCCUAAAGAGCCGUUGUAGACUACGACGUUGAUAGGUUGGGUGUGGAAGCAUAGUGAUAUGUGUAGCUAACCAAUACUAAUUGCUCGUUUGGCUUGACUAU
This 2859-nucleotide ribosomal RNA is filed under the name Faucicola osloensis. RNAcentral describes it as "Moraxella osloensis 23S ribosomal RNA". It matches the Rfam family "Bacterial large subunit ribosomal RNA". The record is from RNAcentral. Lineage: Bacteria; Pseudomonadati; Pseudomonadota; Gammaproteobacteria; Moraxellales; Moraxellaceae.